This 391-nucleotide unclassified non-coding RNA is filed under the name soil metagenome. Its description in RNAcentral is "partial contains 5.8S ribosomal RNA, internal transcribed spacer 2, and large subunit ribosomal RNA". The stretch from base 1 to 122 matches the Rfam family "5.8S ribosomal RNA", at positions 35 to 154 of the family's 154-position model. The record is from RNAcentral.
GAUGAAGAACGUAGCGAAAUGCGAUACUUGGUGUGAAUUGCAGAAUCCCGUGAACCAUCGAGUCUUUGAACGCAAGUUGCGCCCGAAGCCAUUAGGCCGAGGGCACGCCUGCCUGGGCGUCACACGUCGUUGCCCCCCCAUCUACUCCUUCGGGAUUGCGGGGGGCGGAUGAUGGCCUCCCGUGCGCCUCGCCGCGCGGUUGGCAUAAAUGCCAAGUCCUCGGCGACGCACGCCACGACAAUCGGUGGUUGCGAAACCUCGGUUGCCCGUCGUGUGCGGUCGUCGCGCAUCGAGGGCUCGAAAAAAUUGCCGGGUUCCGGCUCGGCUUUCAACGCGACCCCAGGUCAGGCGGGGUUACCCGCUGAAUUUAAGCAUAUCAAUAAGCGGUGGA